AGACUUUCUGUUAGCGGAACGCCCUUACUCGUCUCUCUCUCUCUCUCAUCUCGCCAUCUAUUUGUCGCCGGCAUCCAUGGCGCCACUGUAUAACUCCUUGUUCAUGUGCUUGAUUCAGCUUUACGAAGUAAAGGCCGAAGGGGAAAGUCAUUUUGCCACUUUUUGGCCUUUAAGUUUCCUGCAGCUGCAUGAGUAAGUGGAGUAUUGUCAUGCACCAGGUUCAUCUCUAGACUUCCAAGACGUGAGGAUCCGGUUGAGGCUGGUUCUCUAGUCCACCCCAAGCUUUAUGUUUGGCAGUAAAGUAUUUAUGGGAUGAUCAAAACAUUGCCAAACAACCACACUACUCCCUGUAUUACGUUCGAAUUUGCUGAAUCCAUGAGCCAACCUGAAUGAGAUCUAGUUUCUGCUGCUGGAACAUUUGUCUCCAGAGUAUAACACUAAAGUUACGGUCUUGGAUGACAAGAUUUCCAUUCUGGUUGAGGAAUAUAACUCCAGAGGUUCCAUUGACUUGUUUUAUGGCAACCCAAACAACUGUUGCUCUGAGAUCAUGUUGUACCAAAUUCCUAUAUAUCGGAAAUUUCUUGGACAAUAAAUCCAAAGUGCAAAGAUCUCACUAUUGGACACCAAUAGGUCCUCAUCUUUGGUUUGGAAUUAUGGUGUCAAUGGAAAAGCAAAUUACGAGUAACAGAAAUGAGACGAAUAACUUGAAACCCCAUUUUCCAGAAACCAUGUUUGGGUUUGCAGUGUACCCUGUCUGUUAGCUGUUGAAAUAGAGAACACAAGUGAAGAACACAUAACAUCCUUGUGAAAAGAAAAAAACAACUUCAACCAGUUUGAUUUCUUAUGUUUUUGACAUGUAAAUUGUCCCCAAAAUAGUUGAACACAAACUCCAUAGGCCCAAUGGAAAAGGGUUCCAACAGGAUUUGUCUUGCUGGAUUUAGG
Long non-coding RNA from Rhododendron vialii, 942 nucleotides. RefSeq lists it as uncharacterized. The transcript is spliced from 3 exons. The record is from RefSeq and is a predicted model, not a curated record. Lineage: Eukaryota; Viridiplantae; Streptophyta; Magnoliopsida; Ericales; Ericaceae.